RNAcentral lists this ribosomal RNA (253 nucleotides) under uncultured bacterium. Its description in RNAcentral is "partial 16S ribosomal RNA". It matches the Rfam family "Bacterial small subunit ribosomal RNA", at positions 524 to 776 of the family's 1533-position model. The record is from RNAcentral.
UACGAGGGGGGCAAAUGUUGUUCGGAAUCACUGGGCGUAAAGGGAGCGUAGGCGGGCUUCUAAGUUAGGUGUUUAAUCCCAGGGCCCAACCCUGGUCAGGCACCUAAAACUGGGAGUCUUGAAUAGUGGAGAGGACGGCGGAAUUGGGGGUGUAGCGGUGGAAUGCGUAGAGAUCCCCAAGAACACCAGUUGCGAAGGCGGCCGUCUGGACACAUAUUGACGCUGAGGCUCGAAAGCAUGGGGAGCAAACAGG